This 751-nucleotide ribosomal RNA is filed under the name Gemmatimonadota bacterium. RNAcentral's name for it is "bacterial SSU rRNA". It matches the Rfam family "Bacterial small subunit ribosomal RNA", at positions 1 to 726 of the family's 1533-position model. Lineage: Bacteria; Pseudomonadati; Gemmatimonadota. The record is from RNAcentral.
AACGGAGAGUUUGAUCCUGGCUCAGGACGAACGCUGGCGGCGUGCUUAAUACAUGCAAGUCGAACGAGGAAUGGAGAGCUUGCUCUCUAUAGCCGAGUGGCGAACGGGUGAGUAACACGUGACCAACCUGUCUUUAGGUGAGGGACAACCUGGGGAAACCCGGGCUAAUACCGCAUAAUGUCUUUUUUUCACAUGUGAAUGAGACCAAAGGGGGCCUCUGCUUGCAAGCUUUCGCCUAAUGAGGGGGUCGCGUCGUAUCAGCUUGUUGGUGAGGUAACGGCUCACCAAGGCGAUGACGCGUAGCGGGUCUGAGAGGACGAUCCGCCACAUUGGGACUGAGAUACGGCCCAGACUCCUACGGGAGGCAGCAGUAGGGAAUAUUGCGCAAUGGUCGAAAGACUGACGCAGCGACGCCGCGUGUGGGAGGAAGCCUUUCGGGGUGUAAACCACUGUCAGGAGGGAAGAAUCCCGAGUGUUCGAAUAGGGCACUCGAUUGACGGUACCUCCAGAGGAAGCGCCGGCUAACUCCGUGCCAGCAGCCGCGGUAAGACGGAGGGCGCAAGCGUUGUUCGGAAUUACUGGGCGUAAAGCGCACGCAGGCGGUUUGCUCAGUCCUUUGUGAAAGCCCGGGGCUCAACCCCGGAAUUGCAUGGGAUACUGGCAGACUGGAGACUGGUAGAGGCUAGCGGAAUUCCUGGUGUAGCGGUGGAAUGCGUAGAUAUCAGGAAGAACACCUGUGGCGAAGGCGGCU